UGAACUCAUAUUGGUAUGGAUUUGGAACGUUUGCCUACGUUUGUGGGGCGCUGUUCCAACUGCACACAAAUUUGAGUUA
RNAcentral lists this microRNA precursor (79 nucleotides) under Bombyx mori (domestic silkworm). Its description in RNAcentral is "mir-2807 microRNA precursor family". It matches the Rfam family "mir-2807 microRNA precursor family". The record is from Rfam by way of RNAcentral. Lineage: Eukaryota; Metazoa; Arthropoda; Insecta; Lepidoptera; Bombycidae.